CGGGCUUCUAGUUCAGCUUCCACUGAACGUCUCCAAUGCUGUAACCAUCACCCAAUCUCAAGACGACAUUGUCAUCGACCAGAGCUCCCGGAUGCAAGUCUUUUUCAGUCCCAAUGGCCAAGUAGAGGUGAAAGUCAACGACAGUCUUUCAGGAAAGAUGUGUGCUCCUUGUGGGAACUUCAACAGAGACAUCUCAGAUGACUUCAGACUACCCAAUGGUCAGAUUGUGGGGGACAUUGUGGAGGUCAUGGAUGCCUGGAAGGCCAGAGACUUCUCAGAGUGUUAUUAACAAUCGGAAAGCCACAUACUUCUUAAAAUCGUCAUUUCUGAAAAUCCAUCUGGAACCACGCGUUGUGCCUCACAAGCACCGUCGGAUGCUGCAGCGGGUGAAAACUUAGCUCACAGCCAGGAACGUGAAGAAAUGCACUGCCAUGUCGAAAUAUGGGGCCUGUGUUAAAUCAGUAGAGGGGAGAUUUGUCAAUGGUUAUCAGCAAUGGUUGCCAAGAAUGAAACUUCCAUGUUCAGAGGCAGUAUAGCACUGUGUAUCAGAUGCAGUAGACAAAGAUUAAGGGUGGUUAUCACCUUCAUGCUGGGCUUGAAAGGUGUCCAACAGCAGACAGCUGGCCCCUGUGGGUGUCAAUGUGCAGGGGUAAAAGACCUUCCAUCUGACCCAGCAAAGCUCCAUUGAUGUCAUUUCUAUUGACCAUCUCCCAGUAAUGUGUGAAUUUUGAUGGGAAUCCUUAGUAUCCUGUAAAUCGCAGCAUGCUUUGCAAUACAAAUCCUAACCAGAGGUCGUAAAAGUCAACAGGGAUGAAGAAGUAAACUCUUUGCAAACACACACCCCCGCCCGCUGCAAAGUUUUGUGUCAAUGCAUUUGCUUGCCUGCCCGCAAGAAGGUAUAUGCCAUGCAAAAUGACUCUCAACAUGGACUGGGCAUAGAUUAAGGCUGUCAUUGGGAAUAGAUGUAUGCUUGGGAUGGGCCCCUGCUUUCCACAAC
Long non-coding RNA from Sphaerodactylus townsendi, 997 nucleotides. RefSeq lists it as uncharacterized. The transcript is spliced from 3 exons. NCBI's taxonomy places the organism in Eukaryota, Metazoa, Chordata, Lepidosauria, Squamata, Sphaerodactylidae. The record is from RefSeq and is a predicted model, not a curated record.